Zalophus californianus (California sea lion) is the source of this 3299-nucleotide RNA transcript. It is a transcript of the gene named zinc finger protein 250, with no coding region annotated. The record is from RefSeq and is a predicted model, not a curated record. Lineage: Eukaryota; Metazoa; Chordata; Mammalia; Carnivora; Otariidae. The transcript has 7 exons.
AGUGCGUUGCGGGCGUCAGUCUCUUCGCGCGUGAGCCUGCGGCGUGGAAGCCCCACAGGCUCCUCUGAGUUCCAUCUUCCUCAGAAACCUCAGAGGAUCAGGGAUGGCAGCGGCCAGGCUCCUGCCACCACCAGCAGGACCCCAGCCCCUGUCAUUCCAGGCCAAGGUGACCUUUGAGGAUGUGGCCGUGCUUCUCUCCCAGGAGGAAUGGGACCGCCUGGGCCCUGCUCAGCGGGGCCUCUACCGACACGUGAUGAUGGAGACCUAUGGGAACGUGGUAUCACUGGGACUUCCAGGAUCAAAGCCCAAUGUGAUCUCUCAGCUGGAGCGAGGAGAAGAGCCAUGGGUCCUGGAUGGGCAAGGGGCUGAGGAGUCUAGGGGCCUGGGGAGUGGCCAUUCAGACAACUACACACAUGACCACAUGACAGCUCGUAUGCGACAAGACAGUUCACCCUGUCCGUGGGAAUAUGAAAACAAGGGAGAGAACCAAAAUAGGGAUUUGAGUCUGAAGCCGUUUAUUUCAGAGGAAGUAUCAGUGAUUCUGGGGGAAACAUCCACAGGAUGGAUUGAUCAAAGACGUUAUGAACGUGAUCAGAGCUUCUGUGUGAGUCCAAGUCCCGUCGGCGGGCCUGAAGCCCAGGUCUUGAGCCAGAGUGUGCCUCUCCCUCAGCAUCAGGCUGUUCCCAGUGGUGAGAGACCCUACAGGUGCACCGAGUGUGGGAAAUGCUUUGGCCGGAGCUCCCAUUUGCUGCAGCAUCAGAGAACCCACACCGGAGAGAAGCCCUACGUGUGCGGCGUUUGUGGGAAGGCCUUCAGCCAGAGCUCCGUCCUCAGCAAACACAGGAGAAUCCACACGGGCGAGAAGCCCUACGAGUGUAACGAAUGCGGAAAGGCCUUUCGGGUGAGCUCGGAUCUCGCUCAGCAUCAUAAGAUCCACACGGGGGAGAAGCCCCACGAGUGUCUGGAGUGCCGGAAGGCGUUCACGCAGCUCUCGCACCUCAUCCAGCACCAACGGAUCCACACCGGCGAGCGGCCGUACGUGUGCCCGCUGUGCGGGAAGGCCUUCAACCACAGCACGGUUCUGCGCAGCCACCAGCGCGUGCACACCGGGGAGAAGCCGCACGAGUGCACGCAGUGCGGCCGCGCCUUCAGCGUCAAGAGGACGCUCCUGCAGCACCAGCGCGUGCACACGGGAGAGAAGCCCUACACGUGCAGCGAGUGCGGCCGCGCCUUCAGCGACCGCUCGGUGCUCAUCCAGCACCACAACGUGCACACCGGCGAGAAGCCGUACGAGUGCGGCGAGUGCGGCAAGGCCUUCAGCCACCGCUCGACGCUCAUGAACCACGAGCGCAUCCACACGGAGGAGAAGCCGUAUGGCUGCUACGCGUGCGGAAAGGCCUUCGUGCAGCACUCGCACCUGACGCAGCACCAGCGCGUGCACACCGGGGAGAAGCCCUACGUGUGCGGCGAGUGCGGGCACGCCUUCAGCGCCCGCCGGUCCCUGGUGCAGCACGAGAGGAUCCACACCGGCGAGAGGCCGUUCCGCUGUGCACAGUGCGGCAAGGCCUUCAGCCUGAAGGCUACCCUGAUCGUGCACCUGCGGACCCACACCGGCGAGCGGCCCUACGAGUGCAGCCGCUGCGGCAAGGCCUUCAGCCAGUACUCGGUGCUCAUCCAGCACCAGAGGAUCCACACGGGCGAGCGGCCCUACGAGUGUGGCGAGUGCGGCCGCGCCUUCAAUCAGCACGGGCACCUGAUCCAGCACCAGAAGGUGCACAGGAAGCUGUGACCCCUGCUGGCCCCCGGGAGCCCCCACCCAGGAGAAGCUUCUGGCAACUCUGCCAGGUGCCGUUCUCUGGCAAUUCAGUGUCCCAAGCACAUGUUCCUGUGGAAAAACCAGAGGAUGCCUGUUUUGUUUACCCCCACACCCUGAAGUUCUGUUGCACAGUAAUCACACAAUUGUAGUGAAUUUUGGUAAAGACAGCCAUCAUUCAUUCCUUAACAUGAGACCAUCUAUUUGAAGUGAGCGGAGCCAGCAUCACAGGUGAAACUCUGGAAGCUGAGGUAGCAGGUGUACUGCACAGAGGAGAUGGGCUCCUGAAAGGAACUGACAUCACUGAUGUGUACUGCAGAGCAGCUGGGACAACAGGAGCUAAGGCAAUUGAAGGAAAAACAGGACUUGGGAUCACUAAGGUAGAUGCUAGAGAGGUGAACUCGCUGAGGUAUUACUUCAGAGAUGGCUGAAACCUCUGAGGAGAUGCUGUAGAAGCCAAGCUCAUGGUGCGAUUCAGAGGAGCUGAAAUCCCUCCGAUGUUACUGCAGACAGUAGCUGAAAUCACUAGAGCCAAACUGCAGAUCAAUAGAAGUGUUACUGCAGAGAGCAGCUGGCACCGGCGAGGUGCUAGCUCGAAAAUCCCCACAGAGGGAAGCCAACAGCCCUUGCUGGCUGAGUCUAUAGCUGGCGUCUGACUCAGUGACUGCCCUUCAGAGCUCACCACUGUUGAGGGCACAAUUCCUAAUCCUGUGAAAGAGCUAGAAUAAGAAAUAGUCACGUUCCAGUUGAGACGAGAAUAAGAGUUCAGUUAAAUACAAUAUACAGAAAUACUUGUUUGGAAAGACACUAUAUCACAGGACAAUGUAAGUGAUACAGUACAAGUCAUUCUGGAUUGAUAAAUCCACCAAAUCUAGGGUUUUUGGGGAAAUCUGCAAAAUGUAUAGUUCACUUUUCAACCUUCUUAAAUGAAGUGUACUUAAUAUCAUUCUGCCUUUUCUUCCUAUCAGCUGCCAUUGACCCAUUGGUGUGUGUACAGGCUCAGGUAUCCAUGGAGCUGAAAGGUGAGCUUCAGUGCCCUUCUCCCUGGGGAGGCUCCCUGGGCCAUGCAUUUUUGUCACCUACCUCUCCAGAGACCAGGAGGUAGCACAGAACCUGCUGGAACAUAUGGGCAGUCUAUGUUUUUGGGAAGUGGCAUCAGGCACCAAAAUGACCUUUGGGGUCCCUUCACCCUGUUAAUAGCCUUCUCAGCCAUUAACUGCCCAUCUCUGACUGAUCAGCAACAUAUACCACACUUAUUUUGGAUUUUUUAAUUUUUAUUUAGACGUUUUUACAUUUUAUGCAUUUAAAUCUUUAUCCUAUUUUUCCUUACUGCUACCAAGAAUUUGACACCUAGUUCUCAAAUUUUCUAUAAUUUAGAAAACAUCCAGAAUUUUAUUUCUGUGUACUAUGUAUAAUCUGACAUUUCCCAAUAAAAAAAGGAAUGACUGGAACACCUUUUUGUGGGUGAAGGGAGAUGAAUGAUUUU